UACGGGGGGGGCAAGCGUUGUUCGGAAUUACUGGGCGUAAAGGGCUCGUAGGCGGCCAACUAAGUCGGAUGUAAAAUCCCCAGGCUUAACCUGGGAACUGCAUCCGAUACUGGAUGGCUUGAAUUCGGGAGAGGGAUGCAGAAUUCCAGGUGUAGCGGUGAAAUGCGUAGAUAUCUGGAGGAAUACCGGUGGCGAAGGCGGCAUCCUGGACCGGCAUUGACGCUGAGGCGCGAAAGCCAGGGGAGCAAACGGG
Molecule: ribosomal RNA, 253 nt
Filed under: uncultured bacterium
Lineage: Bacteria
Description: partial 16S ribosomal RNA
Rfam family: Bacterial small subunit ribosomal RNA
Source: RNAcentral